Long non-coding RNA from Camponotus floridanus (Florida carpenter ant), 459 nucleotides. RefSeq lists it as uncharacterized. The record is from RefSeq and is a predicted model, not a curated record. Lineage: Eukaryota; Metazoa; Arthropoda; Insecta; Hymenoptera; Formicidae. The transcript is spliced from 3 exons.
UUUAACGUGCAACUUUUCAUUGCAGUUUAACUUGAAAUUUGCUUUACAAAUUUCUCGAAGAAAAUUAAAAAGUCUCAUUUUUGAGAUUAAAGACAAAAGGAAAAGGAAAGGGAAUAAAAAAAAUAUUCGGAAAAACCACAUGCACAGCUGUUUUUGAAUCGAUGAAACUUGCAUUUGCUUUCAUGAUAAUGAUGGCUAUCCCAAUGAUAUCGACUGUAUCAAGUCAGUCCAACAGCCCUUCAGAAGAACAGGUUCGUUUCGGUGUAUGCAAUGUAUUAGGCAUAGUAAUACCUAUUUUGGUGGAAGAAUUGAAAUCGAUUGGUAUUUGCUAACUUCCUCCAAAGUUUUCGUCUAAAUAUGUUAGACAUAAUAAAAAAAGUAAACUUCAAUAAAUAAAUGUUAAACAGCAUGUCAUAUAAAUUUCUUUUCUUCAGUUAAAUAAAAUUGUCGACAAAAAAA